UACGAAGGGGGCGAGCGUUGUUCGGAUUUACUGGGCGUAAAGGGCGCGCAGGCGGCUAUCCAAGUCAGGCGUGAAAGCCCCGGGCUUAACCUGGGAACUGCGUUUGAAACUGGGAGACUUGAGUGUGGCAGAGGGGGGUGGAAUUCCACGUGUAGCAGUGAAAUGCGUAGAUAUGUGGAGGAACACCGAUGGCGAAGGCAGCCCCCUGGGUUAACACUGACGCUCAUGCACGAAAGCGUGGGGAGCAAACAGG
Molecule: ribosomal RNA, 253 nt
Filed under: uncultured bacterium
Lineage: Bacteria
Description: partial 16S ribosomal RNA
Rfam family: Bacterial small subunit ribosomal RNA
Source: RNAcentral